UACGAAGGGGGCUAGCGUUGCUCGGAAUCACUGGGCGUAAAGCGCACGUAGGCGGAUUGUUAAGUCAGGGGUGAAAUCCUGGAGCUCAACUCCAGAACUGCCUUUGAUACUGGCGAUCUUGAGUCCGGGAGAGGUGAGUGGAACUGCGAGUGUAGAGGUGAAAUUCGUAGAUAUUCGCAAGAACACCAGUGGCGAAGGCGGCGCUCUGGACCGAGACUGACGCUGAGGCGCGAAAGCGUGGGGAGCAAACAGG
Molecule: ribosomal RNA, 253 nt
Filed under: uncultured bacterium
Lineage: Bacteria
Description: partial 16S ribosomal RNA
Rfam family: Bacterial small subunit ribosomal RNA
Source: RNAcentral